GAUGAAGAACGUAGCGAAAUGCGAUACGUAAUGUGAAUUGCAGAAUUCAGUGAAUCAUCGAGUCUUUGAACGCACAUUGCGCCCCCUGGUAUUCCGGGGGGCAUGCCUGUCCGAGCGUCAUUAUCCUCCCUCAAACCCCGGGUUUGGUGUUGGACCCAAGUUGUGUGAACAACUGGUCUCAAAGACAAUGACGGCGUCCGUGGGACCCUCGGUGCAACGAGCUUUUAGGAGCACGCAUCGAGUUGCAAGGACCUUCCGGGCCGGUCUCCUUUACCAUUUUACAAGGUUGACCUCGGAUCAGGUAGGAAUACCCGCUGAACUUAAGCAUAUCAAUAAGCGGAGGA
This 344-nucleotide unclassified non-coding RNA is filed under the name soil metagenome. Its description in RNAcentral is "partial contains 5.8S ribosomal RNA, internal transcribed spacer 2, and large subunit ribosomal RNA". The stretch from base 1 to 120 matches the Rfam family "5.8S ribosomal RNA", at positions 35 to 154 of the family's 154-position model. The record is from RNAcentral.